GAUGAACGCUGGCGGCGUGCCUAAUACAUGCAAGUCGAGCGAACAGACGAGAGUGCUUGCACUCUCUGACGUUAGCGGCGGACGGGUGAGUAACACGUGGGUAACCUACCUAUAAGACUGGGAUAACUUCGGGAAACCGGAGCUAAUACCGGAUAAUAUUUAGCUUCGCAUGAAGCAAUAGUGAAAGACGGUUCUGCUGUCACUUAUAGAUGGACCCGCGGUGUAUUAGCUAGUUGGUGAGGUAACGGCUCACCAAGGCAACGAUACGUAGCCGACCUGAGAGGAUGAUCGGCCACACUGGGACUGAGACACGGCCCAGACUCCUACGGGAGGCAGCAGUAGGGAAUCUUCCGCAAUGGGCGAAAGUCUGACGGAGCAAUGCCGCGUGAGUGAAGAAGGUUUUCGGAUCGUAAAACUCUGUUGUAAGGGAAGAACAAGUACGUGAGUAACUGAACGUACCUUGACGGUACCUUACCAGAAAGCCACGGCUAACUACGUG
Molecule: ribosomal RNA, 499 nt
Filed under: uncultured bacterium
Lineage: Bacteria
Description: partial 16S ribosomal RNA
Rfam family: Bacterial small subunit ribosomal RNA
Source: RNAcentral